GUGGUCCUGGAGUGUUCUGGAAUGUUCUUUUGGGGUGGUCCUUUGGGUGUUUCUGGAAUGUUCUGGAAUGUUCCUUUGGGGUGGUCCUGGAGUGUUCUGGAAUGUUCCUGAGGUGUUUCUGGAAUGUUCCUUGGAAGUGGUUCUGGAAUGUUCCUUUGGGGUGUUGCUGGAAUGUUCUGGAAUGUUCCUUUGGGGUGCUCCUGGAGGUGUUUCUAGAAUGUUCCUUUGGGGUGUUCCUGGAAUGUUCCUUGGAAGUGGAUCUGGAAUGUUCCUUGGGGUGGUCCUGAAGGUGUUUCUAGAAUGUUCCUUGAGAGUGUUCCUGGAAUUUUCCUGGAGGUGUUUCUGGAAUGUUCCUUGGAAUGUUCCUUUGGAAUGUUCCUUUGGGGUGUUGCUGGAAUGUUCGGGAAUGUUCCUGGAGUGGUCCUGGAGGUGUUUCUGGAAUGUUCUGAGGGUUUUGCUGGAAUGUUCCUUGGAAUGUCUUUGGGGUGUUUCUGGAAUGUUCCUGAGGGUGUUUCUGGAAUGUUCCUGGAAUGUUCCUGGGAUGUUCCUGGGGGGUGUUGCUUGAGGUGUUUCUGGAAUGUUCCUGGGAGUUUUCUUGGAAUGUUCUUGGGGGUGUUGCUGGAAUGUUCCUGAGAGUGUUCUUGGAGUGCUCCAGGAAUGUUCUUGGGGUGUUGCUGGAAUGUUCCUGGGGGCGUUUCUGGAACAUUCCUGGAACGUUCUCGGGGUGUUUUGGGGAGGUGUCGGAUGCUCAGGAGGUCCUGAAAGCACCAAGAAGGGCCCUGGGUGGUUCUAAAAUCACUGGGAUUGUGUUGUGGAAGGAGAAGAAUCCAUAAAACCACUGGAAGUUUGUCAUGGAAGAGAAAAGAGCUCCUAAAAACUCUGGGAUUUUGUGACUUCUUCCGAGUGAGAAGAGUUCCUAAAACCACUGGGAUUGCGUCAUGGAAAGGAUGAAGGCUCCUAAAACCACUGGAAAGUUCCUAAAACCACUGGGAUUGUGUCAUGGAAGGGAGGGGGGAAGAGCUCUUGAAAGGCCUGGAAUGAGCUCGUAGGAGUGGGAAAGUUCUUGAGAACCACCAAACUACAGGGUUGGAUGUCUGGGAAGGCCCUGAAAGUGACCAAAAACGGCCUGGGAGGGUCAAGUGUGGUGAGAUGUUCCUCAGAACUCUCAGGAUGUGGUGGUGGAAGUGAGAGAGUCCCUAAAAACGUUGGAACUGGGGGGCUGGGAGGUGAAAAAGAGUCGCUGGAACCACCCAGGAACGGCCUUGGAUGUCAAGAGUGGUGAGGAAAUGCCUGAAAGGACCCCACAAGGAGGUCCUGGAAGUGAGAGGUGUCCUUGGAGCAGAAUUCCCAAAAACCGCCCCCGACUGUGCCGUGGGAACGGAGAGAAUUCCUAAAGAAAUCAAAAUGUUCUUGGAGUGUACAAAAAAACCAGAGGAAUUGGGUCUUGGAAGGUGCAGGAAGUUGGUGAAAUUCUGGAAGUGCCAGAAUUCCCAUGGAAUGCUCCUGACUUGGGUUGAUGGUGAGAGAAUUCCCAAAAUUCACCCAAAUUGUGCCUUGGAGGUGCC
This 1565-nucleotide long non-coding RNA is filed under the name Serinus canaria (Common canary). Its description in RNAcentral is "lncRNA (ENSSCAG00000001474.1)". Lineage: Eukaryota; Metazoa; Chordata; Aves; Passeriformes; Fringillidae. The record is from RNAcentral.